Molecule: ribosomal RNA, 266 nt
Filed under: uncultured bacterium
Lineage: Bacteria
Description: partial 16S ribosomal RNA
Rfam family: Bacterial small subunit ribosomal RNA
Source: RNAcentral
GUCCACGCCCUAAACGAUGUCAACUAGGUGUUGGAAGGGUUAAACCUUUUAGUGCCGUAGCUAACGCGUGAAGUUGACCGCCUGGGGAGUACGGCCGCAAGGCUAAAACUCAAAGGAAUUGACGGGGACCCGCACAAGCGGUGGAUGAUGUGGAUUAAUUCGAUGCAACGCGAAAAACCUUACCUACCCUUGACAUGUCAGGAAUCCCGGAGAGAUUUGGGAGUGCUCGAAAGAGAACCUGAACACAGGUGCUGCAUGGCUGUCGU